This is a non-coding RNA of Oryza sativa Japonica Group (Japanese rice), 3468 nucleotides long. The record is from RefSeq and is a predicted model, not a curated record. NCBI's taxonomy places the organism in Eukaryota, Viridiplantae, Streptophyta, Magnoliopsida, Poales, Poaceae.
CGUUAGGUUCCCGAGCGCGCGAAUUUGGGAAAUUCUAGGUUUCCAAGCGAGCAAUGGCCGCCUCGCCGCCCAACCGGGAGCGGCGGCUCGCAGCGGCGGAGCCGGAGCCGCCGCCGCCGGACGGUCUGGGUGCGCUCCCCGUAGAGGUCCUCGACAACAUCCUCGGCCGCCUCCACAUCUACGAGGUGGUCCGCACCUCGUCGCUCUCCCGCGCGUGGCGGCGCCGCUGGGAGUCGCUCUCCACCUCGACCUGACCCGCAGCCCCGGCGUCGCGGCGUCCGACGUCGACGCGGUCCUCCUCCGGCGCUCCGCCGCCGCCCCCGUCCGCGCCUUCCGCCUCGUCGCGCGUGACCCCUCCUGGUUCGUCGACGCCCUCCACGACUGGCUCCUCCACCUCUCCCGCAACGGCGUCCAGGCCCUGGAGCUGUGGUUCCCGACCUACAACUUCCAGCUCCAUUCCUGCCUCUUCUCCUGCCGCGAGCUCGCCUGCCUCGACCUCGACAGCUGCCGCCUCCCGCCCGCACGCAUGGGGUUUGAGGGAUUCCCGAACCUGAAGAAGCUACGCCUCCAUGAAGUUACCCUCCCGGAGCACAUGGGAAAUAUGUUGGCUGCCUUGAUUUCCGCGUCGCCAUUGCUGGAGGAGGUGGAGCUUGUAAGUGUGUUUCUUGUCGGCGACUACCCUGACGAGGAGUGGGUGAUUCGUGCGCCCAAUCUCCGGAAGCUUAUAAUGGUUGCUGCGUUUCCUUAUGGUGGCCGAGUGGAGGAGCUUCCACGACUGGAGCAAGGGAUUCUGUGCGGCCCCAACUACGCCAAGUUCUUGACGGGGAUGGCUCAUGUGACCAAGCUAGAGUUCAUGUGCCACUAUAUGUUGUCAACUGAAGUUGAUGUGCUGGAGCAGCUACCGUUCUUGUUUGAGAAUCUUAGGAGCUUAGUCAUUAGUGUUAAUUUCUGUAAAAUGUCCCACAUUUUAUUUAUGUUCUGUCUACUUAGAAGUGCUCCUGUUCUUGAAGAACUUGAUGUUGUGGGACAAAGCAAUGAUGCUCAGGAUAUUGAUGCGAAUGAUGAGUUCUUGAAUGCUCAGCCAACCUAUGAUAUGUUUGCGAAACUUCGUGUUGUGCGAAUGAAGAAGGUUGCUUGCCUCUGUAAUGAGAUGCACUUUAUGGAGUUUGUUCUAAACAAAGCAAGAGUACUGCGAGUGCUAUCUGUUUAUCCUUCUUCUGGCGUCACUUGUAGUAAUGAGCAGGCUUUUAUAACAGAACAUCCGAGAGUUUCACCUGAUGCACAAGUCAUCUUCAUGAAUAGAGAAUCUGCAAACAAGUAAGCAUUCUGAUUCUAAUAUUUUCUUGUGUUGUUCCAUAAACCCAUCGGUCACUGUCUUGUCCUAAACCACAAUUAAAUACAGUUAUACUUGGCAAUGCCUUCUAGUAUACAUAUUUGGUCGCGCUGUUGAAAUGUAAAUGCACUCCAGGGUGGACACCAUGGAAACCUGCAUUCCUAGUUAGGUCUGAGUCUUACAGGAAGUUGUUCUGCCCCCUCAUGCUCCAUGCUUCCACUUCCUCCUUCGACAAUCGACAACUCUCCAGAUCUACAGCAUACCUGUCCAUCUCCUACUCAUGCUUCAGCUAACCAGAUAAACUUCUAUCUGUUUACAUCUGCAAUCUGUAUAUCUCGGUUCUUCUGCUCUGCUUUCCCUUUCUGAUCUUUUUUAUAUCAAGUUCCAAACAUAGAGAAUUAUUCCUAUGCAUCUACUCUAACUAGGACUCUGUCACUGAACUCUAUAGUUCCAAGCAAGUCUGAUAAGUUCAUCUUUUGAUAUAUUUUAGAACUGUCACUGAACUCUAUAGCUUGUUACUACAACUGUCAUUGAAAUCUAUAACUGAGUAUUUAUUUCAUGCCUUUAUCCUUGUACUCUGUGACAACCUUGCUGGUAUACUAUAUGCACACUUGGUAAGUAAACUGAUAGUGUAUUCACUGCCUUAUAUUGGCUAUAGCUUACAUUAUAAAGUUAAGUUGGUCCUUCCAACAUAUUGAAAAAUGUAUUUGUGCUUCUCAAAAUCUUUAGCAGUGAAUUGCACUCAAGAAACUAAUUUUUUUCUUUGAAACUGCAGUAGUGCGGUUUCAUACUUUCACGGGAGCCUGUAAGCUCCCCAGUAUGUGGAUUCUCCUCUCCUUCCAAAGUGUUGCUGCGAUGCAUGAUGAGGAGUAAUGGUACCUCCUCACAAAUAAGAACUUGAAAACACGCUGCCCCUGGCCCUGCGUGCUUGCAAGUACCAUUAGAGAAGCUUCACGUGGUACCACCCCACAUAUUUCACUUUUACAUGUGACAAGGGCCUCUGCAACAAUGGCAAGGUGGCGUGGAUGCAUUUGCUAGGAGGUAGUCUCGAUUGACAGUUGAUAAUCUGCUUCUUAGCUGGAAGCUGAAUUUUGUUUUGAGGUGAAACCGGAAUGAGUUGAAAGAUUUUGAAUCAAUUUGUAAAUUGUUGAAUCAAACUGAAAAAAAAAUCUUUUAAUAUGAGUGGGAUGACAUUGAAUAGGGGAAAUGUUUUUCGUAUUGAGUUGAAAAUUUCUUGAACCGAGUUGAUGAGCAGCUGCAGAUUCCAAUGUGGGGACAAAUCUUAGGACAGGCAGUGGGAGAGGGCUACUGGGGAAGUGGGGAGUCCUCAUAACAUGUGUUGGUGGGACAAAGUAGUAAGGCAUGAAUGGUGUAUCUGUCCCCUUCCCACAAACACUCUUAAAAUAGUUGCUCAUCUUUUUUUUUCUUGUAUAUUUAGCACUAUGAAAUUUGCCUUCCCCGUAUCCAUCUGAUACUGAUAUUCUUCUUACUUUUAAUCUAACUUAAUGCCAGUGGUUACAUGGACACUCCCAGUGUUAAUUAUAAGUUGGAAACAACAAGAACAGGCAACUGGAUAGAUCUUGCACAUCCUUGCAAAAUUAAUCGGUUGGAUCUAGAUGCCGUGGAUCAGCAUAAACAUAUUGAGGAGAUGUUGCUAAUACGGCAAAAGUUACUGAAAGAACGCAAGGAGAUGGCACAGGCUCUUCAUGAAGAUAAGAAGCUUUUGCUAAACUACUUCGCUGCAGUUAAAAAAUACUUCACUUCUAACCUAAAGUAUCUGUCUGAGCAAUUGAACAUUUCCAUUCCACCAUUUCCUGAGCCUUCGUCAGUCUCAUCAUCUUCCCAUCCUACCUCGCCCAGGUUGGCAGAAGCUCUUACCGAUCCUGCCAGUCGUAGUGCUGACAAUGUGCAAGCAGAUUCUCGAGCUGACCAGGUAGCCAUUGGUGCUUCCAGUGCUCGUGCCAAUUCUCCUAAACCUGAAGACAAUGUCUGACGAGUCUUUCAGCUGCUGUCUUCUGCUUCUUUCUUCCUGAUGUAGCUAUUCGAUUUCUUGUAACUCUGGAUUCUGUUUGCAUUUUUGCUGAAUGAUGUACGGCAUGAUCUCGACUUAAGUUUAGUGCGUGAUGGUUUUAUCA